UCAAAUAUGAAUAACUGUAGCAGCCAUAACAAUGUGGGGAAUCUUAUUUGGUCGUAGCUCUAUCUGGAGAGUCAGUUUUUUAUUUAAAUCUUUUUUUGCGCCUUGCAUAUUUGAAUUCGAUUCUCAUUUUACUCUCGCUACUGUACGCUGAAACAACUAUUCUUAUUGUAUUCAUUUUAUUAUCCUGUGGCCAUAAAGUGUAAAACUGUACUUUUAAAAGUUAGUAGAAAGGCUUGAUAGUAUUUUAGAUACCAAGAAUAAAGAAUUUUCGGAGUGUU
RNAcentral lists this long non-coding RNA (278 nucleotides) under Sitophilus oryzae (rice weevil). RNAcentral describes it as "uncharacterized LOC115885839". The record is from RNAcentral. Lineage: Eukaryota; Metazoa; Arthropoda; Insecta; Coleoptera; Curculionidae.